This 819-nucleotide ribosomal RNA is filed under the name Facetotecta sp. Its description in RNAcentral is "SSU rRNA". It matches the Rfam family "Eukaryotic small subunit ribosomal RNA", at positions 6 to 824 of the family's 1831-position model. Lineage: Eukaryota; Metazoa; Arthropoda; Thecostraca. The record is from RNAcentral.
GGUUGAUCCUGCCAGUAGUCAUAUGCUUGUCUCAAAGAUUAAGCCAUGCAAGUCUAAGUACGACUCUCGUAUAGUGAUUCUGCGAAUGGCUCAUUACAUCGGUCAUAAUUUCCUGGACGAGUUAUUUGUACUUGGAUAACUGUGCCAAUUGUAGAGCUAAUACAUGCCACGGACUGUCUCUCCGGAGACGGUGCUUUUAUUGGAUCAAACGCCGAUGGCAUUCGUGCCUCGAGCGGCGAAUCGUGAUAACUCUAGCAUAUCGCACGGUUUCACACCGGCGAAGCGUCCUUCAAGUGACUGCCUUAUCAGCUGUCGAUGGUAGUGUAUUGGACUACCAUGGCAUUAACGGGUAACGGGGAAUUAGGGUUCGAUUCCGGAGAGGGAGCCUGAGAAACGGCUACCACAUCUAAGGAAGGCAGCAGGCACGCAAAUUACCCAUUCCCGACUCGGGGAGGUAGUGACGAAAAAUAACGAUACGUGGUACUCAUUCGAGAACCCGUAAUUGGAAUGAGUACAAUUUAAAUCCUUUAACGAGGAUCUAUUGGAGGGCAAGUCUGGUGCCAGCAGCCGCGGUAAUUCCAGCUCCAAUAGCGUAUAUUAAAGUUGUUGCAGUUAAAAAGCUCGUAGUUGGAUCUUGGAUACGGGUAUCGCGGUCUGAGCAGUGUCUCUGUACUGCGAUUGCCCUGUCUGUAUUUUCGGAGGCCCGUCGGUGUCCUUUGUUGGGUGCUGUCGGGUGCCGAAGCGUUUACUUUGUUUGAAAAUUAGAGUGUUCAAAGCAGACACGUUCGUCCGCAUAAUUUUGCAUGGAAUAAUGGAAUA